Molecule: ribosomal RNA, 270 nt
Filed under: uncultured bacterium
Lineage: Bacteria
Description: partial 16S ribosomal RNA
Rfam family: Bacterial small subunit ribosomal RNA
Source: RNAcentral
CCGGCGACCGGCGCACGGGUGAGUAACAUGUAUGCAACCUGGCCGUGACAGAUGGAUAACCGGGAGAAAUCCCGCCUAAUACAGCAUGACGCCGGGAAGGGACAUCCCUUUCCGGCCAAAGGGGGCGACUCCGGUCACGGAUGGGCAUGCGGCGCAUUAGGUAGUUGGUGGGGCAACGGCCCACCAAGCCGACGAUGCGUAGGGGUUCUGAGAGGAAGGUCCCCCACAUUGGAACUGAGACACGGUCCAAACUCCUACGGAAGGCAGCAG